AAAACAGCCCUACGGGAGGCAGCAGUGGGGAAUUUUGGACAAUGGGCGCAAGCCUGAUCCAGCCAUGCCGCGUGCGGGAAGAAGGCCUUCGGGUUGUAAACCGCUUUUGUCAGGGAAGAAACGCUCCGGGCUAAUACCCUGGGGUAAUGACGGUACCUGAAGAAUAAGCACCGGCUAACUACGUGCCAGCAGCCGCGGUAAUACGUAGGGUGCAAGCGUUAAUCGGAAUUACUGGGCGUAAAGCGUGCGCAGGCGGUUAUGCAAGACAGAUGUGAAAUCCCGGGCUCAACCUGGGAACUGCAUUUGUGACUGCAUGGCUAGAGUGCGGCAGAGGGGGAUG
RNAcentral lists this ribosomal RNA (340 nucleotides) under uncultured bacterium. RNAcentral describes it as "bacterial SSU rRNA". It matches the Rfam family "Bacterial small subunit ribosomal RNA", at positions 330 to 663 of the family's 1533-position model. The record is from RNAcentral.